This 253-nucleotide ribosomal RNA is filed under the name uncultured Gemmatimonas sp. RNAcentral's name for it is "partial 16S ribosomal RNA". It matches the Rfam family "Bacterial small subunit ribosomal RNA", at positions 524 to 776 of the family's 1533-position model. The record is from RNAcentral. Lineage: Bacteria; Pseudomonadati; Gemmatimonadota; Gemmatimonadia; Gemmatimonadales; Gemmatimonadaceae.
UACAGAGGGUGCGAGCGUUGUCCGGAAUCACUGGGCGUAAAGGGUGCGUAGGUGGCAGGAUAAGCGUGUGGUGAAAGCCCGGGGCUCAACCCCGGGUCUGCCAUGCGAACUGUCUUGCUUGAGCAUAGUAGAGGCAGGUGGAAUUUCGGGUGUAGCGGUGGAAUGCGUAGAGAUCCGAAAGAACACCGGUGGCGAAGGCGGCCUGCUGGGCUAUUGCUGACACUGAGGCACGACAGCGUGGGGAGCAAACAGG